AAUGAACGUUGGCGGCGUGGAUUAGGCAUGCAAGUCGAGCGAGAACCCCGCAAGGGGGGACCGCGGCGAAAGGGACAGUAAUGUGUAGAUUAUCUGCCCUCAGGUCCGGGAUAGCUGCGGGAAACUGCAGGUAAUACCGGAUAACAUCUCCGGAUCAAAGGUGUGAUUCCGCCUGAGGAUGAGUCUGCAUCCUAUUAGCUAGUUGGUGGGGUAAUGGCCUACCAAGGCAUUGAUGGGUAGCAGGUGUGAGAGCACGACCUGCGUCAUUGGGACUGAGACACUGCCCAGACACCUACGGGUGGCUACAGUCGAGAAUCUUCGGCAAUGGGCGCAAGCCUGACCGAGCGACGCCGCGUGUGGGAUGAAGGCCUUCGGGUUGUAAACCACUGUCAGAGGGGAUGAAAUGCAGGUGGGUUCUCCCAUCUGUUUGACAUAGCCUCAGAGGAAGGACGGGCUAAGUUCGUG
RNAcentral lists this ribosomal RNA (465 nucleotides) under uncultured bacterium. RNAcentral's name for it is "partial 16S ribosomal RNA". It matches the Rfam family "Bacterial small subunit ribosomal RNA", at positions 29 to 507 of the family's 1533-position model. The record is from RNAcentral.